CAUGUGUAAGCGAAGCGAUAAGUGGAGCGGUGAAAGGCUCAGUAACGGGCGAUUUAUUUGAUCUCCUGGGACGGACAACAUCGGGAAACUGAUGGGAAAACGUCUAAGUUGCAGUUUUUUUUUGAUUGCGACGUAAACCUUUUGGUGCAGGAGAGUAAGAUGCCAUCCUAUCAGUUAGUAAGUAGGGUAAGGGCCUACUUAGACGAAGACGGGUACGGGGAAUGAGGGUUUGAUUCCGGAGAGGGAGCCUGAGAGAUGGCUACCAGGACCAAGGUCAGCAGCAGGCGCGAAAAUUAUCGAAGCCCGCCUAGGGGCGAUAGUGAGGAGACGUGUAUAACGAAGUACGUGUAAAGACCGUACUAAUAACUGGAGGUCAAGUCUGGUGCCAGCAUCCGCGGUAAUUCCAGCUCCAGGGGUGUCUAUGAUGAUUGCUGCGAUUAAAAAGUCCGUAGUCGAGCUGACUGACUGACCUGCAAUGUGGUUGAUUAAAAGACGAGCAGGGUUAGGAAAGCAGAGAAUUAGGAGCGACCGAGGGCUAGAGUAUUGAAUGGCGAGAGGUGAAAUUUGAUGACCCAUUCAGGAGUGACAAAGGCGAAGGCACUAGUCAAGGGCGAAUCCGAUGAUCAAGGACGUAGGCUAGAGUUUCGAAAACGAUUAGAGACCGGAGUAGUUCUAGCAGUAAACUAUGCCGACACCGUGGUAUUAAUUUUUUAGUAUUGCGGAAGAGAAAUCAAGUAAGGCUUUGGGGAGAGUACGCGCGCAAGCGAUAAAUUUAAAGGAAAUUGACGGAGGAACACCACAAGGAGUGGAGUGUGCGG
RNAcentral lists this ribosomal RNA (818 nucleotides) under Dictyocoela roeselum. Its description in RNAcentral is "SSU rRNA". It matches the Rfam family "Microsporidia small subunit ribosomal RNA", at positions 53 to 822 of the family's 1311-position model. The record is from RNAcentral. Lineage: Eukaryota; Fungi; Microsporidia.